Molecule: ribosomal RNA, 253 nt
Filed under: uncultured bacterium
Lineage: Bacteria
Description: partial 16S ribosomal RNA
Rfam family: Bacterial small subunit ribosomal RNA
Source: RNAcentral
UACGGAGGGUGCGAGCGUUGUCCGGAAUCACUGGGCGUAAAGGGCGCGUAGGUGGCGCGGGCAGUCAACGGUGAAAGUUCGGGGCUCAACCCUGAAUCGGCCGUCGAUACUCCCGUGCUUGAGCACUGUAGAGGCAGAUGGAAUUCCGGGUGUAGCGGUGGAAUGCGUAGAGAUCCGGAAGAACACCAAUGGCGAAGGCAGCUCUCUGGGACGGUACUGACGCUGAGACGCGAAAGCGUGGGGAGCGAACAGG